Non-coding RNA from Hemiscyllium ocellatum (epaulette shark), 406 nucleotides. NCBI's taxonomy places the organism in Eukaryota, Metazoa, Chordata, Chondrichthyes, Orectolobiformes, Hemiscylliidae. The record is from the annotation of a RefSeq genome assembly.
UGCAAACAUGUUGCCAGGAGCUCUGGAUUUACUCCUCACAAUUGCAGCUAUUCUAACUGGACUUUGUCGUGGCGAUUCUGUCUCACAAACACCGGCUGCAAUCAAACUGAAUGAGGGGGACGAUGUGCUGUUGUUCUGUAAUUACACUACAAUAAGCAACAAUGCUUACCUGUACUGGUACCGUCAACCUUCCAACGGAUCCGUACAGUUUCUGCUACAGAAAGAGCAAUACAGCGAGAAAACGGGGAGUUUCCUACUGGGCCGGCUUUCCUGGAAUUUUGAUCCUGUGAACCGCACUAUCAAACUGAAUGUGUUGAGUACAGAACUAACAGACUCUGCAGUGUAUGACUGCGCACUGAGUCCCACAGAGAAUGAGAACUGGGCUGACCCUGUACAAAAACUCUAA